RNAcentral lists this ribosomal RNA (451 nucleotides) under uncultured bacterium. RNAcentral's name for it is "partial 16S ribosomal RNA". It matches the Rfam family "Bacterial small subunit ribosomal RNA", at positions 29 to 523 of the family's 1533-position model. The record is from RNAcentral.
AGCGAACGCUGGCGGCAGGCUUAACACAUGCAAGUCGAACGGGCAUAGCAAUAUGUCAGCGGCAGACGGGUGAGUAACGCGUGGGAACGUACCUUUUGGUUCGGAACAACUGAGGGAAACUUCAGCUAAUACCGGAUAAGCCCUUACGGGGAAAGAUUUAUCGCCGAAAGAUCGGCCCGCGUCUGAUUAGCUAGUUGGUGAGGUAAUGGCUCACCAAGGCGACGAUCAGUAGCUGGUCUGAGAGGAUGAUCAGCCACAUUGGGACUGAGACACGGCCCAAACUCCUACGGGAGGCAGCAGUGGGGAAUAUUGGACAAUGGGCGCAAGCCUGAUCCAGCCAUGCCGCGUGAGUGAUGAAGGCCCUAGGGUUGUAAAGCUCUUUUGUGCGGGAAGAUAAUGACGGUACCGCAAGAAUAAGCCCCGGCUAACUUCGUGCCAGCAGCCGCAGUAA